UGAGCCGGGACGGCUGAGAAGCAGAAAGACUUUACAUACUGCAUUCAAAUCCGUCAACAGCGGAACCAUAGCUUGAAAUUGAAGACUUUUCUUGUGUUCCUGUAGAUUCCCCGAAGGAUACCCAGGCCUCCGUCAGCCCCCCCACGGUGUCGCUGGGCAGUGUGGUCAACCUGACGUGCACCAGCAGAGCCAACCCCCCCGUUCUCCGGUUCACCUGGUUCAGGAGCAGUGCGGAGGGACCCCUGAACGUGUCAGAUGGAUCUGUGUACAGCUUCAAUGUGUCCAGCUACAGAGACAUCUACUACUGCGUGGCCACGAAUCCCUUGGGAAACCAAACAUCAAAAGAGAUUACGCUACCCAUCAGCGGUAAAUCAACUUCUACCCAUAGACCCCAUAAAAUACUUUAAUGUAACAAAUAUCCCAAAUAUAUCCCUACAAUCUCUAAAUGGAUAAUGAUAAUGCCCCAGUGAUCUGCAUUGUUUUUUCUCCUCCAGAAUUGAAUGUCCCUCUGAUAAUUGGUGGAUUCUUUGGUACCAUCUUCUUUAUUGGUCUGAUCAUCUCUGUCCUGUGGUUACUGAAGAAACCUUCAACACAGCAACAGGUCACGUAUUCAUGUAUCAAUGCUCAAAAUCCAAUAUGUGAGGCGCCAGACAAGCAGGAGGAAGAGGAGAUCCACUAUGGAGAGAUCGACUUUGCCAAGCGAGGUGCUGUGCAGAACCCAGGCCGGGUGUUCCCCCAGGGGGAGGAGCAGACCUCAGAAUACGUUGAGAUCACUGCUCAACAGGCUAAGAACUCACAGAUCAGGGCUGAACUGGAGAGGAGCUGA
This 826-nucleotide long non-coding RNA is filed under the name Gadus morhua (Atlantic cod). Its description in RNAcentral is "lncRNA (ENSGMOG00000035730.1)". The record is from RNAcentral. Lineage: Eukaryota; Metazoa; Chordata; Actinopteri; Gadiformes; Gadidae.